RNAcentral lists this ribosomal RNA (238 nucleotides) under uncultured bacterium. RNAcentral's name for it is "partial 16S ribosomal RNA". It matches the Rfam family "Bacterial small subunit ribosomal RNA", at positions 96 to 334 of the family's 1533-position model. The record is from RNAcentral.
CGGCGGACGGGUGAGUAACGCGUGGGUAACCUACCUCAUACAGGGGGAUAACAGUUGGAAACGGCUGCUAAUACCGCAUAAGCGCACAGUACCGCAUGGUACCGUGUGAAAAACUCCGGUGGUAUGAGAUGGACCCGCGUCUGAUUAGCUAGUUGGUAGGGUAACGGCCUACCAAGGCGACGAUCAGUAGCCGACCUGAGAGGGUGACCGGCCACAUUGGGACUGAGACACGGCCCAA